GGAGGAUCCGAGCGUUAUCCGGAUUUAUUGGGUUUAAAGGGAGCGUAGAUGGAUGUUUAAGUCAGUUGUGAAAGUUUGCGGCUCAACCGUAAAAUUGCAGUUGAUACUGGAUAUCUUGAGUGCAGUUGAGGCAGGCGGAAUUCGUGGUGUAGCGGUGAAAUGCUUAGAUAUCACGAAGAACUCCGAUUGCGAAGGCAGCCUGCUAAGCUGCAACUGACAUUGAGGCUCGAAAGUGUGGGUAUCAAACAGGAUUAGAUACCCUGGUAGUCCACACGGUAAACGAUGAAUACUCGCUGUUUGCGAUAUACAGCAAGCGGCCAAGCGAAAGCGUUAAGUAUUCCACCUGGGGAGU
This 352-nucleotide ribosomal RNA is filed under the name uncultured bacterium. RNAcentral describes it as "bacterial SSU rRNA". It matches the Rfam family "Bacterial small subunit ribosomal RNA", at positions 527 to 881 of the family's 1533-position model. The record is from RNAcentral.